This 253-nucleotide ribosomal RNA is filed under the name uncultured bacterium. Its description in RNAcentral is "partial 16S ribosomal RNA". It matches the Rfam family "Bacterial small subunit ribosomal RNA", at positions 524 to 776 of the family's 1533-position model. The record is from RNAcentral.
UACGUAGGGUGCAAGCGUUGUCCGGAAUUAUUGGGCGUAAAGAGCUCGUAGGCGGUCUGUCGCGUCGGCUGUGAAAACCUGGGGCUCAACUCCGGGCCUGCAGCCGAUACGGGCAGACUAGAAUUCGGUAGGGGAGACUGGAAUUCCUGGUGUAGCGGUGAAAUGCGCAGAUAUCAGGAGGAACACCGGUGGCGAAGGCGGGUCUCUGGGCCAUAACUGACGCUGAGAAGCGAAAGCAUGGGGAGCGAACAGG